Long non-coding RNA from Equus asinus (donkey), 1836 nucleotides. NCBI's taxonomy places the organism in Eukaryota, Metazoa, Chordata, Mammalia, Perissodactyla, Equidae. The record is from Ensembl.
GAAUUUUCCACCCAUAUAUUCUUUUAUUUUCUGUCUUCUUUGCCUUCAAGUGUCAAUUGGCUCCUCUCAGUCACAGCUGUACAAAUCACAGGAUUUUUUUUUUUAUUGGCAUAAGACAUAUGCAUUAUUCAUCUAUUCAGUUUCAUCUGAAGGAAAUCCAAAAAAGACACAACUUUACCUUCCAAAGAAAUAUUUAAAGCUGCUUUUUCCCUGCGAGAAAGUAGGCAGAAAACUUCAUCCAUGAUCUACGUCCCCAUGUUCAACCCAGCUCUCCAUGAUGGGAGAAUUAAGUCCUUGACAGCAACCAUCAACCACUAAUGAAAAGAGCAAAAACAGAAGAUGUGAGAUCCAAGCUCUCUCUCAGAAGAUAAAAGUUACCUUAUAAAAGAGACAGUCGUGGUUUUAUAAGCAAAACAGGACUUUCUCAACAUCUCACAGCCAUCUCAUUAGCCAAUGCUCUCUCAUCACGAGUGAUCGUGGUUAUUUAGCGUCAGAAGCAAAAUAUGGGAGAUCUGUCUGCAGGCAAGUGGAGACAAGGCAUAAGAAAGGAAGAGCUAGGUGUGUGAGGAAAAUGCUGAAGUGGACAUACUUUAGUGCCUGAUUCAUAAGGACGAAAAGGCAUCGACUCGAGCAGAGAUGUAACCCCUUCUGGGUGGGAUGCCCAAUUCCCAGAGCGUACCACUGAACUCACAGCUGGGCAGCUCAAACGACAGAUGGAGAGAAUUUCUGGGAUCUCACAUUUCAGGAGUGGCAAGGAGGGAGGCAGCUGAUGCUGAAAAAGACCUUAAAUUCAAGUAAUAUGGUGCACCCAGAACACCCUUCAACAGCUUCAGGUUGCCCUGAUGUUCGUUUUAAUCUAGUUUUGCCUGUAUCACCAUGUUGAGGCAAAGGAAAGGACUGUGCGAUUUGGGACUUUGUAUUCCUCCGUGGGAUUUAGCAUUGACCAUGAAAACAGAAUAUGUAGUCAGAAUCUUCAUGGGAAACGUGUUCAGAAGAAAGAACAGUGAGCCAGGAAGCUUGGAGGUUUGGGCUCUGGCCGCAGCUUUCCCAUGGACAUGUCAUAUAUGUCCCAGAAAGUCAUUUAGACUUUGUAGCACCCAGUUUCUUUUUCUGUUAAUCAUCGAGUGAAUUGGAUGACCUCUCCCCCCAAAUUCUAUAAUUCUAAAUGUCAUACGUAUGUUUGCAUGAAUCCACGAGUCACUAAAACCUAGCAGAUUUCAGAAAAUUAUUUAAUAAACAAAAUUUCUCAUCAGCAACUCAAGAGAUCUUGGAACUGACUCCCAAAACAUUGGAUAAUCAUGUUUAGGCAAAGUCUUCAAACCCAAAGAGAAGAUCUCGGGAUUGUUGAGCGUCUUUUCACCACCAUUCAUACCACGCAGAAGACAGGCUGUCAGUUCCGAGCUCACACUCACUCUGCCCUGAGGGCUCAGAGCAUUGGAACAUCUCUCAUUAAUUGGGGGGGUGGGGGUGGGGGGUGCUUAAUAUACAGAAUAUGGUAUUGCCUCUUUCACAAUGAAAUGAAAUCUAAAGGGCAUGUUUCAGUUCUAUAAUAUUUUCAGCAUCUCAAAAUGCUUUGAGAAUAGCUUCAGCUUUUUUUUUUUCUCAUUUCUGAUUUGAUCCAUGUAAUGACUUUGUAAAGCAGGCGAGGCCCAGGAAUUAUUGUGCUCAUUUACAAAGCAAUAUGCUGGGGGCAAAGAAAUAAAAUAACUUGGUUACCUCUUAGAGAUGGUGGUCCUCACUCUGGGUUCUCCUGACUUGCAAACAAAACCCAACCCCGUGUAGGAGUGACCUCCUCUCUGUAGUCCACCUGCCUGUAGAUCAGUCCCUUCAAAUGCG